This is a long non-coding RNA of Cebus imitator (Panamanian white-faced capuchin), 682 nucleotides long. RefSeq lists it as uncharacterized. Lineage: Eukaryota; Metazoa; Chordata; Mammalia; Primates; Cebidae. The record is from RefSeq and is a predicted model, not a curated record. The transcript is spliced from 2 exons.
AGCAAGGCGUCUGGAAACGAGCUGCGACUGUAGAUGGAACGAGACAGGGACUUCGUUGAAUGAUCUGCCCAGCGUCAUGGCCGCGGGCUGGUCACAAGGGGGCCGCCCCCUGGCCCCUCCCCUCUCGACGUGCGGCCCCCAGCCCCGGAUUCUGCCCUCCUGCCGUGAUGAAUGGCACCGCUGUCCCGCGCAGGCAGGCAAACCUCUUCCUGAAACAGAAUCUACUGAAGGCAACAGCAGCAACAGAUUCUACAGAAAGCCCCUGAAAUGGAGGCUCAGGCCUCACCUAGCUCCAGGCCCGCACUCUACAGAAAAAAAGAUUCACCCAGGCGGGGGUGGGGGUUUCCAGAGAUGGCAGCUCUCUGGCAGGAAUCCCUCAGGAUCCUGUCAGACUCUGGUCUCUGGGAGUUAAGGGGAGAUCUAUGUAUCUAUCUAUCAAUCAAUCAAUCAAUCAAUCAUCUAUCUAUUGUCCCAGAAUAUGCAGGGGAGGAAGCAUAAGCAAGGGCUGAGGCUCAGAGAGACCUGAGCCCAGGCACGUGCUGGCUGUGUGACCUGGGAUAAAACACUUAACUUCUCUGAGCGUUAGUUGUGUCAAUUUUUUUUUUUAAUGAAAUAAUCCUAACCCAAUGUAAACACGAAAUCAUAGUAUACAUCAAGUAAAAGAUCUUUAUGGCAAGCUUUA